CAGCAGGCGCGAAAACUUUACAAUGCGGGAAACCGUGAUAAGGGGACACCGAGUGCCAGCAUCAUAUGCUGGCUGUCCGGGUGUGUAAAAUACACCCGUUAGCAAGGGCCGGGCAAGACCGGUGCCAGCCGCCGCGGUAACACCGGCGGCCCGAGUGGUGAUCGUGAUUAUUGGGUCUAAAGGGUCCGUAGCCGGUUUGGUCAGUCCUCCGGGAAAUCUGACGGCUCAACCGUUAGGCUUUCGGGGGAUACUGCCAGGCUUGGAACCGGGAGAGGUAAGAGGUACUACAGGGGUAGGAGUGAAAUCUUGUAAUCCCUGUGAGACCACCUGUGGCGAAGGCGUCUUACCAGAACGGGUUCGACGGUGAGGGACGAAAGCUGGGGGCACGAACCGGAUUAGAUACCCGGGUAGUCCCAGCCGUAAACGAUGCUCGCUAGGUGUCAGGCAUGGCGCGACCGUGUCUGGUGCCGCAGGGAAGCCGUGAAGCGAGCCACCUGGGAAGUACGGCCGCAAGGCUGAAACUUAAAGGAA
RNAcentral lists this ribosomal RNA (531 nucleotides) under uncultured archaeon. RNAcentral describes it as "bacterial SSU rRNA". It matches the Rfam family "Archaeal small subunit ribosomal RNA", at positions 333 to 864 of the family's 1478-position model. The record is from RNAcentral.